CGUCGCCGCGGUAAUACGUAGGUGGCAAGCGUUGUCCGGAAUUAUUGGGCGUAAAGGGCUCGCAGGCGGUUUCUUAAGUCUGAUGUGAAAGCCCCCGGCUCAACCGGGGAGGGUCAUUGGAAACUGGGAAACUUGAGUGCAGAAGAGGAGAGUGGAAUUCCACGUGUAGCGGUGAAAUGCGUAGAGAUGUGGAGGAACACCAGUGGCGAAGGCGACUCUCUGGUCUGUAACUGACGCUGAGGAGCGAAAGCGUGGGGAGCGAACAGGAUUAGAUACCCCCGUAGUCCCUGUCUCUUAUACA
RNAcentral lists this ribosomal RNA (301 nucleotides) under uncultured bacterium. Its description in RNAcentral is "partial 16S ribosomal RNA". It matches the Rfam family "Bacterial small subunit ribosomal RNA", at positions 510 to 808 of the family's 1533-position model. The record is from RNAcentral.